AUACGGAGGGUGCAAGCGUUGUUCGGAAUCACUGGGCGUAAAGGGCGCGCAGGCGGCUUGGUAAGUCAGAUGUGAAAGCCCACGGCUUAACCGUGGAAGUGCAUUUGAAACUGCCUGGCUUGAGUACCAGAGGGGAAGGUGGAAUUCCCGGUGUAGAGGUGAAAUUCGUAGAUAUCGGGAGGAAUACCGGUGGCGAAGGCGUACUUUCUGGCUGAGUACUGACGCUGAGGCGCGAAAGCGUGGGGAGC
This 248-nucleotide ribosomal RNA is filed under the name uncultured bacterium. RNAcentral describes it as "partial 16S ribosomal RNA". It matches the Rfam family "Bacterial small subunit ribosomal RNA", at positions 523 to 769 of the family's 1533-position model. The record is from RNAcentral.